GACGAACGCUGGCGGCGUGCUUAACACAUGCAAGUCGAACGGACAGGCCCUGCUUUUGCGGGGUGCUCGAGUGGCGAACGGGUGUGUAUCACGUGAGUAACCUGCCCUUGACUUUGGGAUAACUUCACGAAACAGGGGCUAUUACCGGAUAGGAUCUUCUGCUCCAUGGUGGGGGUUGGAAAGUUGCGGCGGUUGGGGCUCGUCUCGCUGCUUAUCCGCUUGUUAGUGGGGUAGUGGCAUACAAAGCUUGUGACGGGUAGCCGGCCUGAGAGGGGGACCGGCCACAUGGGGACUGAGGGACGGCCCAGUCUGCUAUGGGAGGCAGCAGUGGGGAAUAUUGCAGAGUGAGCGGAAGCCUGAUGCAGCAGCGCCGCGUGCGGGAAGACGGCCUUCGGGUUGUAAACCGCUUUGGCAGGUGACGAAGAGUGAGUGACGGUAAUGGGUAAAGAAGCACCGGCUAACUACGUG
This 468-nucleotide ribosomal RNA is filed under the name uncultured bacterium. RNAcentral's name for it is "partial 16S ribosomal RNA". It matches the Rfam family "Bacterial small subunit ribosomal RNA", at positions 28 to 507 of the family's 1533-position model. The record is from RNAcentral.